Passer montanus (Eurasian tree sparrow) is the source of this 4149-nucleotide long non-coding RNA. RefSeq lists it as uncharacterized. NCBI's taxonomy places the organism in Eukaryota, Metazoa, Chordata, Aves, Passeriformes, Passeridae. The transcript is spliced from 4 exons. The record is from RefSeq and is a predicted model, not a curated record.
UUUGUUUGUUUUUUUGGGGUUUUUUGGGUUUUUUUAUGUCCUGGGGACAGACCACGUAGUGGACUUUACCAAAUAAAGCUGGAAGACACUCUUAAUUCUUGAAGAACGGUGUUGCUUUAAAGAUAGUUUUUUGAGUUCACAUCAAUCAAGACAUCACUUUCUUUCAAAUUUUUCCAGAACCAAGAAGAAAGAUAAGAGAAAGAAAUUUACAUGCUCCAUAGUCAUUCAUCCCAGAGGAUGGAAAGAUGAAAUUAAUAUCUUAAAAACACUACAUACAAAGCAGGUGGAUGAAGAAUUGUAGUCCCUUGAACUGACAAAAAAGGGUAUUUCUGUCUGAUAUGAAGAAGACACGAAGCAGCAACUGAAGAGAGCCUUCCUAAUUUCAUCUUUGACAGAAAAUAUAAUUCUGAACUUUAUAAACACCAGGGUUGUGACAUGUGGGUGGACAAAGACAAGAUAAAAUUAUCUGACAACAAAUGCUUUUGGAGGGCAUAAAAGUGGCAUUUGGCCAUGCAGAUGAUGGACCCCUGUGAUGUAUGUUGUGAUCUAAUUUGUGUUCGUUCCAAGCAGUACAUCACUAACACUGGAUCCAGUAGGCCUUCCAAAACAGUGGCAGCUACAAGCACAAUUUCUCAGUGUUCUUCCAGUGAGCUAAGCUGUCUCAGAUUUUAAGGAGAUCUUUGUUGGUCAAUACAAUUUAUUUUGCUUUCCCAAAUGUUAAAGCAACAAUGUAGUGUGUUCCGCUGAUACAAUUAAUUUCAAAUAGUCUAUUAUAUAAAGAAUAACACAGAGCAAUAGCAUUCCUAAGCAUGGAAGGAACUUUGCUUUUUUACUUACAAAAUUAUAAAUUGUACCAACUUUUAAUUAAAGCUCAAAAGAGUGUGGAAAUAUUCAAAAUUCAAAAUCCUUACCAUUAAAAAUUAGUAUUCCCAUUCUUAUUAUUACCGAAAAAAGAGUAUGCUCUCUCAAAGAGAGCAUUUUCAAAGAGUAGUCUUAUUUUCAUGAUUUUUAGAAAUCACACCUUUUCUCUUUGAUUUUAUUUUAAUUGCAUUUUUCAAGAUCUAGACAACCUCUUUUGUCACUCCAGUGAAUUCCUUCCUCUUUUGAAGGAAACGUGAAGAUUUCCUUUUCUUCAAAACAGGAAAUUGUAUGCCAUUGUAACAAAAACUUGGUUUGAAUCCUCACCGAGCAUGAGAGAGUUAUUUCCCCACCAGAUGUAUUUCUAUCUUCAAACCAUGCAGUAGUGAUGUCCUCUCAGUCCCGGUGAAAGAAAUUUGAGUGACUAUAGAGGACAUUCUUCUGCACUGCUGGUGGCUUUGGCUGCUAGUCAAAUACCAUGAAGUGUUUAUUCGAAAUCUGGUUUUGCACCUUCCCCUUUUAACAACGACUUUCACCCUCUUGAACCCCAUCCAAGGAGGAGCCAUGUGGGUUCUGUCAGUCCAUCAAGCAACAGAACCAGCCCAAGUAGCUUCCAGCCUGAGCACCCCUUAUCCAUGGUGGCAAAAUCCAGUCUUUUCUGAAGUGGUCUCUGCAUAGCAACACUAGAUGGAGACUUAAGACAUAAGCACCUGGGUUUAUUUAAUUCAAGGGGGUUAAUUAUGAUGAGUUUUUCUACUUGUGGGAAGUACUUAGAUCUACAUGUAUUGUACAACAUGUUUUUAUAAUUUAAAGUUUUCUGCUUGCCAUCCAUUUUGAGUGAAGUGUUUGAAGGCAAGUGUUUUCUUCCUUCAUCUCAGCUCCAUGGCUGGCCUCCUGGAGAGGGACAGUAGGGAAUGUGGGCUGCCUCCCACAUCUGGCAGGGAUAUGGAGCAAAGGAACAAAGCAGUGAGAUACAGCUGAUCUGCCCAAAAGAGUUUGGGUUUUGUUUUUGGGUGAGCCUUUCAGGGUACAGGCCUGAUCACUGACCUUCAAAAAGAGCAGUCCAACUCCUCAGAGGCAGGGGAGGAGCUAAUCUUACCAAGUGUAAGAAGAUGGGGAGCUGUAUCCUUCCGAUAGGUUGGUGGAGAGAAGAGAUAAACUGGUGGUUUUCAUGAGUUUGGAAGGAGGUGGGAAAGGAUGUGGGAGGAUUGGUUUCUUUUUUUUUUUUUUUUGUCUUUUUGUAUGGAGAGGAAACUUGUAUUUGUCUUCUUGAGGAGGUGCAGAGGAAGGAAAGAAAUGAGUAUAUUUUUUUGGUUAUGUAUGAAGAGAUGAAGAGAACAAUUAUGCCCUGUAAGCACUGGUUGGAAUGAACAUUCAAUAAAGUAAUUCCUUUCUUGCCCUGCAGAUCCAGGGGGUGCUUAUGAGGCUGUGUUGUUGCUAGCACAUAUUUGCCUACCAUUCCAGGGCUUAGAAUUCCCUAGAGGCAGCAGCACUGCUGAGAUAGAUAUAGACAGACUGAAAGACAUCAUUUUACCAGGCUAUUCCACAUUGAAGGGUUCACCAAACCCUGCAUACAGAGAUGGUGUGGGAAGUAUCCAGUCAUAGGGAUUCUCACAGAAUCUACAAAAUUGACAUUCCAUGAAUCCUGGCAGUCCACGUAGUCAACAAGCUGAGUGCACAGUCCUUCACAACACAGCAUGUGUGCAGGUUGGUUGGGUAUGGACACUUCAUCCAAGAUUAAAAAAAAACAGCAAUGCCUGAAAUAAACACAAGUUCUCCAGCUUUGCAGAAGCUGAGGUUCUGCAGUGGGGGAGAGAGAGCUACCCACUCUGGAAGAGUAGACAGUUGACAAUGACUGAUAUUUUUUCUCUUUGGUGUAGUUGUAAGAACUGCAUAGACAUAUCCUGUGGGAAUGUGAAUCCUGUCUUUUGUUCUCUGCAAUGGAGGAGUCCACACUGGGCAAGAGCUAUCAAUAUUUUCACUGUUGCUGAAGAUUAUAUAGGGAUAUAAGCUGUGGAAAAUGGCUUUGAAGAUCUUGACUGAAAACAGACCCUUGGAUUUGCUGAAGCUCAUCUGUACUAGAUGCCUCCUGAAUAUGCAUGGCUGCCCAGAAUUCCAGUUCCUGCUGAAUGGCAGGUGCUAACUCUGAGACAGGCAUCUGGCAUGCAGAGAGCUUUUGAUUAUCUGCUGCCUGUUCCAAAUACAGACCAUAACAUGGUGCCACAGGGAAUGUUAAUCUUUAAGAUGCAAAACCUCAUAAGUGAUGAAGUUAUUGAAAAAAAAUGUAUUCCAUAUAAGUCUAGAAGCUCUUCCAAGGUAUUGAGAUGUGAUAUCUGGAGUUGGCUUAUCUGGCUCAGGCAGGCUGAGGAGAGGCCUGGGAUGCUGUCAUGAUUUCUUGAGCUGUUGCACAAGGAGCAGGCAGAGUAGCAGCCAGCAAGCAAAGCAGAACGCCAGGAGGUGGGGUGUGUUUGUAGUGUAGGCUGCACAAAGGUGACGGCUGUGCGCUAGGCUUGUUGUGAGCAACAUGCUGUGGUUAGGGACUGCGGUCAGAGCAGACAAUUGCUGAGCGUUGUGCAUCAUGCAUGACAGGCAGGGCUGUGGCAUGCAGAUAAAAACAGCGUGGGAUGGAUUUUGCACUAAAAUAAGCUCUGAGUGUGAAGAAAGCCAGCCCAGUUAGGGCUCUCUUAGUGGAGCCAGUCCGCUAGGAAAGCCCUAGCUUUGACCUGUGUGCCAAAAGCUACUCUGCGCCAGAUGGCUUGGAUGAAGAGAAUCACAAAAAAAAGGGACGUUAAAUUGGGUUCUCAUAAAUCCCCGUGAGCUGCCCCUUCAGGCCACCAGUUAUUUGCUUUUUGUUAGAGUUUCUCUGUGGAAGAAAUCUUCCUAAUUGCAGUUAUCUUCAGAAGUGGAAAAAAAAAAAUCAAGUUCUUAAAGAUUAUUUCCCCUCACAAGGUGUUCCUUCUGAGUCCCUAAAAAUCCACCUGCAGUUUCUCCCAUGGGCAGUGAAUGCCAGGCUUUUCUGCUGUUGAUGUCCUCUGUCCCUAGUCCUCAGCUCUGAGUAGCCACCUGAAGAUUCAGCCAUCAACUUUACCAAGUAUUCAUCAUCUCUGAGGCAUCAAGGGCUGAUGCUGUUUACAUGAAGGACUCUCAGUCCUCCUGGAAGAAGACUUCAUUCUUCUAUAUGAAACCCCACUUAAUCAUUUUUGCAUAUAAAUAUUUAUGUUUGUAUCUCAAUGUUAAUUUUUUUUUUCCUGUUUUAUUCCCUCUGGUAUUCUGUACCUACACUUCUCUUAA